Long non-coding RNA from Zophobas morio, 1014 nucleotides. RefSeq lists it as uncharacterized. The record is from RefSeq and is a predicted model, not a curated record. The transcript is spliced from 5 exons. Lineage: Eukaryota; Metazoa; Arthropoda; Insecta; Coleoptera; Tenebrionidae.
AUAAUGUUGUAGUUUGUUAUCGUUAAAGGAUCGGCCUUCUUAGAGUUUCAAAGGGUUCACGCAACUCUGAUAAAGCCUAUACGGAGAAGGCAAGACGUGAUGUGGUGGCAAAGGAUCAGUCGAUCGCCCGCUUUAGGGUUUGUGCUCGGUGGGAAGCUCCUCAGUUCUUGUUAUAUUCUUUGUAGUGAAGCGCAUUCUAAGCCACUCCAUUAAUAAUUUUAAUUAUGGUUUUGAUCUUCUUGUCUUCUUAGCUUGAAUCCUUAAGGCCGGAAGCUCGCCUAUCUUAUUAAGCGCUUCGUUGACAAUGCGAGCUGCGUAGUGGGUUCUACCUAACAAACUUUUUUGAUCUCUAGAAUGGGUAUCGGGGGUACAGUUUUAAGGAAAAAACCUGUAACCAAACUUAGAAACCCCCUUAGUUUUGUUGGAGUUACAAAUGUUGUUGUUACUGCCUUUUUUUUGGUCGUUGUAUCAGCUGUAUGGUCUUAACGCAUAUAGCGAGUGACUGACGGGAUUUUAAAACAAUGCAUGCAAGGUCCGAUGGCCAUCGCUGACGUAGUGUGAAGUGAUGGUGCGGUUCUGUGCGCUUUGACCGAAGCUCUGGCAGCGGUAGACUGCCCUAUACAAUCGUAGUUUUAUGCUUACAGGCAGGUGGCACACUGGAUGCCAUGCGAAGUCGCUAAAGGUCUCAUUCUGGGCUAUGCUUAACGUAUCUUUAACAACGGGGACAUUGUGAGACGCGCUAUGGGAAAGGGAUGAGAAUCUUUGGUCCAAAGGCCGAACCUAGAGAUCUCUGAGGAAGGCAUUAAGAGGCUUGUCCAAGAAGGUUAAUAGUUUAGAAGAGCACCACACCGCGAGCGGUAAUCAAUUCCACAAGCAUAGACUACUUCGCCUUGUCGAUGAAAACAGGAGGCAUCACCUCAACAUUACUUGGUUUUGAUGGCUGUACUAGACGUUUUUUUUUUAAGUUUCUUCGGUUUUUGCAUCUGUUUUCUCUUUGUCUCAGUUCAAAUAAAA